This is a long non-coding RNA of Scleropages formosus (Asian bonytongue), 1653 nucleotides long. NCBI's taxonomy places the organism in Eukaryota, Metazoa, Chordata, Actinopteri, Osteoglossiformes, Osteoglossidae. The record is from Ensembl.
AUGGAAUUCAUACAUGAGGAGGUCACAUAUAGACAAGCCUCACCUGGGAAGAUCAUACUUAGUGAAGUCUCACCUCACCAAGUUUCACAUUGGGAGACCACAGCUAGAGAAAGUAUUGCUGGGGAAUUAGCACAUAGUGAGCUCCAACAUAAGGAAAACUCACUUGAUGAACAUUCAGCUGGGGAGAUUAUUCCUGGGAAAACUACUACUGGGGAAUCCGCAUACAGGGAAGCAUCUUCUGUGGAGAUAUCUCAGAAAUACUUGCCUGGGGAAGCCUCAGAUGGGGAGAUUAUACACAAAAAAGCCGCUUAUGGAGAAGCUAUUACUAAGGAAGUCGCACUUAGAGAUGUCAUACCUGAGAAAUCCUCUUGUGCAGAGAUCAUACCUGGAGAGAAUGUACCCGGAGAAGCCACUGCUAGGGAGAUCAUACCUGGAGAAACUACUACUGAGAAAAUUGACUAUGAGGUGGUCACCCAUAGGAAAGCCUCGUUUGGUGAACUCGUAUGUGGAGACAGCACUCCAAGAGAAACAACUUCUAGGGAAGUUACAUCUGGAGAGAUCACGGCCGAGAAAGUCUUACCAGGGGAGUUCAUACCUGGAGAACUCACUUUUAAGGAAACUAUUACUGAGGAAGUCACGCUAAGGGAGAUCAUACCUGGGAAAGCCUUAUGUGGGAAAAUCAUACCUGUGGAGACUGUUCCUGGGAAAACUUCAAGGAAGAAAUCUACAGUCACUGGCUCUCUCAGAGAGUCUGUAGACUUAUCUAGGGAGGCAGCUUUCUCUGGUUCAUUGAAGGAAUCCACAGUCACUUGCUCUCUGAGAGAGUCUGUAGAUUUAUUGAGGUCGACUACAGUCACUGACUCUAUGAAAGUGCCUAUAGAGUUAUCAAGGGAGUCUGCUUUCCCUGGCGUAUCAAUUCAAUCUACAGUUUUUGACUCAGUGAGACAGUCUACACUCAGCGGUUCACUAACUCCAUCCAGACUCAUUGGCUCAUUCAUGGAGUCAACACUGAGCCAUUCACUCAAGGAAUUUAUAUUUAGGGACUCUCUAAUACAAUCUGAAGACUCACCUCAACAGUAUUCUGGACCUUUCCUUUGCACUGAACAAACUCCAAAGCCUAUAUAUGUGGAUAUAGGUAAUAACCAAAGAUCCUUUAGCAGUAGGCAGCAUACAAUUGGUUUAGCAAUGAAAAAAUCAAAGCGCUACCCAAGAAAAGCAACAAGAAAACUUGAAGGAAACAAAAUCCAGAACAGUGACUGCACAGAUAUUGCCCCACACCUUCGCAGAGAGUCCCACUGGCACUCAACUCCUGACUUUCACCUGGAAAGGGGACGUUUUGUCACAGUGAACAGUGUUCACUGCAGUCGGCCCACACGACAUGAGCGAAUGGCCACAGGUCCUGAACUGCCUGCCAUCUGUGACCUGACACACGACUCUGGCCUUACUGGUUCUCUGAGGAUUCAGUACAAAGCCCUGUCUGGCACCCAGAGCUGGGCCACAGGAUGCUCAGACAGGCGGAUACAAACGUCCCAAUUGCCCCCCGUGAGAUCCGGGUUUAACCCAUUGGCCUUCAAGGAGUCUGAUUCGGACAGUACCACAGAUGACGAGUACUACCUGAGCCCAGACGGGGGUGAGAAGGAGACAUGUCUGUAG